Molecule: ribosomal RNA, 402 nt
Filed under: bacterium
Lineage: Bacteria
Also listed under: 2 other names
Description: partial 16S ribosomal RNA
Rfam family: Bacterial small subunit ribosomal RNA
Source: RNAcentral
UGGGGAAUUUUGCACAAUGGGGGAAACCCUGAUGCAGCGACGCCGCGUGAUUUAGAAGGCCUUCGGGUUGUAAAAAUCUUUUCUAUGGGAAGAAAAUGACAGUACCAUAGGAAUAAGGACCGGCUAAUUACGUGCCAGCAGCCGCGGUAAUACGUAAGGUCCGAGCGUUGUCCGGAAUCAUUGGGCGUAAAGGGUACGUAGGCGGGUAAGCAAGUUAGAAGUGAAAUCCUGUAGCUCAACUAUAGUAAGCUUUUAAAACUGCUCAUCUUGAGGUAUGGAAGGGAAAGUGGAAUUCCUAGUGUAGCGGUGAAAUGCGCAGAUAUUAGGAGGAAUACCGGUGGCGAAGGCGACUUUCUGGCCAUAACCUGACGCUGAGGUACGAAAGCGUGGGUAGCAAACAGG